AUUGAACGCUGGCGGCAUGCUUUACACAUGCGAGUCGAACGGCAGCGCGGGCUUCGGCCUGGCGGCGAGUGGCGAACGGGUGAGUAAUGCAUCGGAACGUGCCCAGUAGUGGGGGGUAGCCCGGCGAAAGCCGGAUUAAUACCGCAUACGACCUGAGGGUGAAAGCGGGGGACCGGAAGGCCUCGCGCUAUUGGAGCGGCCGAUGUCGGAUUAGCUAGUUGGUGGGGUAAAGGCUUACCAAGGCGACGAUCCGUAGCUGGUCUGAGAGGACGACCAGCCACACUGGGACUGAGACACGGCCCAGACUCCUACGGGAGGCAGCAGUGGGGAAUUUUGGACAAUGGGGGCAACCCUGAUCCAGCCAUGCCGCGUGCGGGAAGAAGGCCUUCGGGUUGUAAACCGCUUUUGUUCGGGAAGAAAUCCUCUGGGCUAAUACCCCGGGGGGAUGACGGUACCGGAAGAAUAAGCACCGGCUAACUACGUG
This 484-nucleotide ribosomal RNA is filed under the name uncultured bacterium. Its description in RNAcentral is "partial 16S ribosomal RNA". It matches the Rfam family "Bacterial small subunit ribosomal RNA", at positions 28 to 507 of the family's 1533-position model. The record is from RNAcentral.